RNAcentral lists this ribosomal RNA (429 nucleotides) under Actinomycetes bacterium. Its description in RNAcentral is "Actinobacteria bacterium partial 16S ribosomal RNA". It matches the Rfam family "Bacterial small subunit ribosomal RNA", at positions 355 to 776 of the family's 1533-position model. The record is from RNAcentral. Lineage: Bacteria; Bacillati; Actinomycetota; Actinomycetes.
UAGGGAAUCUUCCGCAAUGGGCGAAAGCUUGACGGAGCAACGCCGCGUGAGUGAUGAAGGUCUUCGGUUCGUAAAACUCUGUUAUUAGGGCAGAACAUACGUGUAAGUAACUAUGCACGUCUUGACGGUACCUAAUCAGAAAGCCACGGCUAACUACGUGCCAGCAGUCGCGGUAAUACGUAGGUGGCAAGCGUUAUCCGGAAUUAUUGGGCGUAAAGCGCGCGUAGGCGGUUUUUUAAAUCUGAUGUGAAAGCCCACGGCUCAAACGUGGAGGGUCAUUGGAAACUGGAAAGCUUGAGUGCAGAAGAAGAAAGUGGAAUUCCAUAUGUAGCGGUGAAAUGCGCAGAGAUAUGGGGGAACACCAGGGGCGAAAGCGGCUUUCUGGUCUGUAACUGACGCUGAUGUGCGAAAGCGUGGGGAUCAAACAGG